AGUGAACGCUGGCGGUAGGCCUAACACAUGCAAGUCGAACGGCAGCACAGUAAGAGCUUGCUCUUACGGGUGGCGAGUGGCGGACGGGUGAGGAAUACAUCGGAAUCUACUUUUUCGUGGGGGAUAACGUAGGGAAACUUACGCUAAUACCGCAUACGACCUACGGGUGAAAGCAGGGGAUCUUCGGACCUUGCGCGAUUGAAUGAGCCGAUGUCGGAUUAGCUAGUUGGCGGGGUAAAGGCCCACCAAGGCGACGAUCCGUAGCUGGUCUGAGAGGAUGAUCCGCCACACUGGAACUGAGACACGGUCCAGACUCCUACGGGAGGCAGCAGUGGGGAAAAUUGGACAAUGGGCGCAAGCCUGAUCCAGCCAUACCGCGUGGGUGAAGAAGGCCUUCGGGUUGUAAAGCCCUUUUGUUGGGAAAGAAAAGCAGCAGGUUAAUACCCCGCUGUUCUGACGGUACCCAAAGAAUAAGCACCGGCUAACUUCGUG
RNAcentral lists this ribosomal RNA (492 nucleotides) under uncultured bacterium. Its description in RNAcentral is "partial 16S ribosomal RNA". It matches the Rfam family "Bacterial small subunit ribosomal RNA", at positions 29 to 507 of the family's 1533-position model. The record is from RNAcentral.